Molecule: ribosomal RNA, 569 nt
Filed under: Triticum aestivum (bread wheat)
Lineage: Eukaryota; Viridiplantae; Streptophyta; Magnoliopsida; Poales; Poaceae
Description: partial small subunit ribosomal RNA
Source: RNAcentral
CUAGCCUACUGUGCGGGCCAGCAUGUGCCCCGUACGGUAUGGAAUUCGGAAUUUAGGGCCGUGUUCUCGAAAUGUGGCCAUGGCGGCGGGUCAGGUACACGCAGUAAAUGAACGCAAGGGAAGGUCGAAUUGACGGAGGUAUGGGGAGCGGAGACGGGAAACGGAACGUCGUGGUAAGGCGGCAACGGAAGAAGGGGUGUAGUAGUAGCAGCGGGCAGGUGUCUGCGCCUCUCUGGCUGAACCGGUACCUAGGGGGCGGACGAGUCAGGUACAGGCGCUGGCUGCUAGAGGUGCUGUUCUCGGAGCUGCCUACGACAAGAACGACGAUGCUGACGACGAGGUCGUAGGAACUGAAGGACACGACGCGAACUACGGGGAGGACGGCAAGGUGCCGUAGGCCACCUUCGCCUCCGCGCGCCUCUCCGGACUCAAUCAUAAAGUCUCAUGAUAUGUCAGUAACACACUCAUAUAAAAUGUAUCGGACAUACAUUAUUCCUCUAAAUACCUAGUUGACGACAUUACACAGCUGAAUAGAUAAGAGUUUUUCUUUACGCAACUGAAUAGAAGGG